This 460-nucleotide ribosomal RNA is filed under the name uncultured bacterium. Its description in RNAcentral is "partial 16S ribosomal RNA". It matches the Rfam family "Bacterial small subunit ribosomal RNA", at positions 338 to 795 of the family's 1533-position model. The record is from RNAcentral.
CCUACGGGAGGCAGCAGUGAGGAAUAUUGGUCAAUGGCCGUAAGGCUGAACCAGCCAAGUCGCGUGAAGGAAGAAGGAUCUAUGGUUUGUAAACUUCUUUUAUCGGGGAAUAAUGGUAUCCACGUGUGGAUAUUUGCAUGUACCCUAUGAAUAAGCAUCGGCUAACUCCGUGCCAGCAGCCGCGGUAAUUCGGAGGAUGGGAGCGUUAUCCGGAUUUAUUGGGGUUAAAGGGUUCGUAGGUGGAUUGUUAAGUCAGUUGGGAAAGUUUGCGGCUUAACCGUAAAAUUGCAGUUGAAACUGGCAGUCUUGAGUACGGUAGAGGUGGGCGGAAUGCGUGGUGUAGCGGUGAAAUGCUUAGAUAUCACGAAGAACUCCGAUUGCGAAGGCAGCACACUGGACUGCAACUGACACUGAGGCUCGAAAGUGUGGGUAUCGAACAGGAUUAGAUACCCCGGUAGUC